Non-coding RNA from Paramuricea clavata, 205 nucleotides. NCBI's taxonomy places the organism in Eukaryota, Metazoa, Cnidaria, Anthozoa, Malacalcyonacea, Plexauridae. The record is from the annotation of a GenBank genome assembly.
CACUAUCACGCAGUAGGAUGUUUAUUUACCCUCAUCCUUUUGACUGAAUAAAGUUUAUCUUUUUGAGAAGCUAUUUGCUUUAUAGCUCUUGGUUAGCAGUUUACGUUUAUCGGCGAUUUUGGCACCCAUGAGACCAACAAGUUGUGGUAAUCCGCGAAUGAAAACUGAUAUUCGAAGAGCACAAAAGCCAACUCCUAGCUAUGUA